This 402-nucleotide ribosomal RNA is filed under the name uncultured bacterium. RNAcentral's name for it is "bacterial SSU rRNA". It matches the Rfam family "Bacterial small subunit ribosomal RNA", at positions 355 to 774 of the family's 1533-position model. The record is from RNAcentral.
UGGGGAAUAUUGGACAAUGGGGGAAACCCUGAUCCAGCAAUGCCGCGUGAGUGAAGAAGGCCUUAGGGUUGUAAAGCUCUUUCACCCGCGAAGAUAAUGACGGUAGCGGGAGAAGAAGCCCCGGCUAACUCCGUGCCAGCAGCCGCGGUAAUACGGAGGGGGCUAGCGUUGUUCGGAAUUACUGGGCGUAAAGCGUACGUAGGCGGAUGCGCAAGUUGGGGGUGAAAUCCCGGGGCUUAACCUCGGAAUUGCCCUCAAAACUGCACGUCUUGAGACCGAGAGAGGUAAGGGGAAUUCCUAGUGUAGAGGUGAAAUUCGUAGAUAUUAGGAAGAACACCGGUGGCGAAGGCGCCUUACUGGCUCGGUACUGACGCUGAGGUACGAAAGCGUGGGGAGCAAACA